CUUUAUUUUCUUUAUUUAUUUAUUUAUUUUUUUUUUUUUUCUAGUGAAACGAAAGCAGAUUGAAUAUAAAUGAGCAUACACGGUCUUGUAUCACGUGACAUUUUUAUUCGAACGUGUUUUUAUCAGGUUAAGUACAUAGUUCCAAGCUUAUUGUGUUUGACCAUCACGCACGGUUUCACGGCACGCCACGCCAGACGAUAUACGCGUCGCGAUAAACGAUAUAUCGCUUCCCGAUGUUCGGGAUGAAAAACUGCAGUGCACUUCUGACGGGCGCCACUCUCGACGAGAGACUCUCCACGGUCGCGAUAUUAUAUUCAGAGUGUUGAGAAGGCACGGAGCGGGGAUCUUUGUCCGUCGGAGGACGAUGCGUAUUGUUUUUCCGGGGACACGAGCACGAGCAUUAAAUCGAAUAUCUUCCAGCUAGAUUUCCCAAAGGGCCAUCCUCUCUCUCUCUCUCUCUCUCUUCUAUAUAUAUCUAUCUCUCGACGAAUCGAUAAAUUUCGAACGUGUCUCCUCCAAUUUGUCCCAUCUGUCUGUAAACCGAUAAACCAUACCAUCCCCAAUUGUUGUCAAAUUUUAUAAUGCCGCUGUAUCGACUAUGGAAAACGAGAGGAGGAACGGAGAGGAAGGGAGGAUAUUUCCGAGUCAAAAUCGGGAUCGGGGUCGGCUCGAACGAUUUAAACAUUAAUUGGGAAAUUCUUUAAAGGGGGGGAAUUCUGAAAAUUUGCCGGAUCCGCGCACUGGUCGCUCCUCCCCUCGCCCCUCGUGCUACAGGGAGGCCAGGAGCGGGCGAAGGAACCCGAACUUUCGACUUUAUGCUCGUUCACACCGCCCGCUCGGUGGCGCGGAAGGGAAU
Molecule: long non-coding RNA, 856 nt
Organism: Apis florea (little honeybee)
Lineage: Eukaryota; Metazoa; Arthropoda; Insecta; Hymenoptera; Apidae
Source: RefSeq, a predicted model, not a curated record